UUGAACAUUCGGAAUUUUGAACGCAUAUUGCGGCCAUGGGUUAGCCUGUGGCCACGCCUGUCCGAGGGUCGG
This 72-nucleotide ribosomal RNA is filed under the name Fasciola gigantica. RNAcentral describes it as "partial 5.8S ribosomal RNA". It matches the Rfam family "5.8S ribosomal RNA", at positions 84 to 154 of the family's 154-position model. From Rfam's summary of the family: 5.8S ribosomal RNA (5.8S rRNA) is a component of the large subunit of the eukaryotic ribosome. It is transcribed by RNA polymerase I as part of the 45S precursor that also contains 18S and 28S rRNA. Lineage: Eukaryota; Metazoa; Platyhelminthes; Trematoda; Plagiorchiida; Fasciolidae. The record is from RNAcentral.